AUCAUGGCAAGAGAUGAGACAAGGGGUGAAGGAAAUAAGUGCGAGAAAACAGAAGGAAUUGAAAUCACAUCAAACGAAGAUUCAAAAGAAGAGGUUAUGGAGGACAAGGAAGUUACUGAAACAUGAUUCAACUUCACAUUCAGAAGAACCGAUGAAAGAUGGCUAUGGAGAAGAGAGCUUAAGGAAAAAUUGGUGGAAGACGAAACACAUGAAGAGCUCAAGACCAGUGAAAUAGAAAACCAGAUCACAGAUAAAAUCAUUGAGGAUCCAGGCCAAGCUUCAGUUGCUGAGAUUGAAGCCACAUCAGUAACAGAAGAGGUU
Hibiscus syriacus is the source of this 321-nucleotide long non-coding RNA. RefSeq lists it as uncharacterized. NCBI's taxonomy places the organism in Eukaryota, Viridiplantae, Streptophyta, Magnoliopsida, Malvales, Malvaceae. The record is from RefSeq and is a predicted model, not a curated record. The transcript is spliced from 3 exons.